Glycine soja is the source of this 884-nucleotide long non-coding RNA. RefSeq lists it as uncharacterized. The record is from RefSeq and is a predicted model, not a curated record. The transcript is spliced from 3 exons. Lineage: Eukaryota; Viridiplantae; Streptophyta; Magnoliopsida; Fabales; Fabaceae.
UAAAAAUAACACCCCGAUUUCCACUUCGAAUUAGUUCACGCUGUCAAACUCUACAACAACAUCAAGGAGCGCUAGAGUGCCCAGGGGAAUUCACCUUUGCCGAUUUCGUCACGCCGGAUCCUCAUCGAACCAACGCUCUUCUCAAUUUUGGUGCCUAUAGGGACGCAAGGUUGAACUGUCUUGGAAAUUGAGGACGAAGUGAAUGCGAUAGAGGCGCAACGAACAGAGUUGGAGGAGAAUAGGAUGUUGCAGGAUGAUGAGAAAGGGAAAUCAUAGAUGGUGCUUGAAAUUAUUGGCUGACAAAAAACAAGUGGUUGCAACAUGCCUGAGAAUAUACAUGAUGAAAUGAGGCUUAAUUUAUUGAUGCGACACAUAUGGUGGUUGAUCUGUUCCAUUUCCAUGUACAUUUUCUAAAACUUAGUUAAAUAAUCUUACUAUAAACUGUAUACUAAAAUUUAAAGAGAGGGGGAAAGUGAUGCCUAUCUCUGUUAAUAUAUAAUCAGGCUAAAGCUUUUUGCAGUUCCAUGGAGGAAAGCAAUGUCCUUGACUCUUAUCUGGCAUAAUAAUAUAUUAAAUAAAGGAGGAUGAAACGUAUCCUGUAUAGGUUCUUUGGUUUUCUUAUUUCCCUUAAAUCAAUGACAGCUUGUUAUUUUACUUUUAAUUUACUUUUAAAAUAGAUUGAUGAAUGUGUAUUGUUAUUUUGUUAAUAUAGAACAUUAGGUAGAGCACUGAGUUACAUUAACAAUAACUGAGACGAAAAAUUAAUCAAGACCAGCUUGGUGACAAACCAACUCUUGAUAUCAUUGAAGAAUUAAAAGCACUUGGUGGAGAUAUUGUUGUACCAGAAAGUUAUACAAAAACCUGGUACUUUAUUUUUUCUUUCU